Molecule: ribosomal RNA, 375 nt
Filed under: uncultured bacterium
Lineage: Bacteria
Description: bacterial SSU rRNA
Rfam family: Bacterial small subunit ribosomal RNA
Source: RNAcentral
AGUUUGAUCCUGGCUCAGAUUGAACGCUGGCGGCAUGCUUUACACAUGCAAGUCGAACGGCAGCACGGGAGCUUGCUCCUGGUGGCGAGUGGCGAACGGGUGAGUAAUGCAUCGGAACGUAUCCAAUAAUGGGGGAUAACGCAGCGAAAGCUGUGCUAAUACCGCAUACGCCCUGAGGGGGAAAGUGGGGGACCGCAAGGCCUCACGUUAAUGGAGCGGCCGAUGUCAGAUUAGCUAGUUGGUGAGGUAAGGGCUCACCAAGGCGACGAUCUGUAGCUGGUCUGAGAGGAUGAUCAGCCACACUGGAACUGAGACACGGUCCAGACUCCUACGGGAGGCAGCAGUGGGGAAUUUUGGACAAUGGGGGCAACCCUG